CUCCCGCCGGCGACCGGCGCACGGGUGAGUAACACGUAUGAAACCUGCCCGUAGCAGGGGGAUAAGCGGAAGAAAUUCCGUCUAAUACCGCGUAACAACCCGAGGAGGCAUCUCCUCGGGUUUAAAGGAAGCGAUUCCGGCUACGGAUGGUCAUGCGUCGCAUUAGCUAGUUGGCGGGGUAACGGCCCACCAAGGCGACGAUGCGUAGGGGUUCUGAGAGGAAGGUCCCCCACACUGGUACUGAGACGCGGACCAGACUCCUACGGGAGGCAGCAG
RNAcentral lists this ribosomal RNA (276 nucleotides) under uncultured bacterium. RNAcentral describes it as "partial 16S ribosomal RNA". It matches the Rfam family "Bacterial small subunit ribosomal RNA", at positions 82 to 354 of the family's 1533-position model. The record is from RNAcentral.